UGAAGUUAAGGUUUUAUUAUUAGUAAUAAAUGGAUUUUUAAUUUGAUUAAAAUAUUAAAGGUUUAAUUAUAAUCGAGAAAAAAUAGGGGUUAUAAUAGUAAAUAGUACUGUAAAGGGUUAAAUUGAGCUGUGUUAAAGAAGAUUUAAUUUAUUGUACCUUGUGUAUCAGGGUUUAUUUAAACUGUUUUAAUUUUAAAAGUUCCCGAAUUAUGAAGAGCUAAUUAGUUAAUAUUUUAUUGUAUCAAAAAUAUUUAUAAUAAUUAAUUAGAUGUGAAAUGUUAUUCGUUUCUUAAUAUAUCUGGUUUCUGAGGAAAUAUGUUUAAUAUAGGAUUCUUGGUCGAAAGAAUUAAUUUUUAAUUUAAUUGUGUAGGAAUUUUAAAAAUAAGAGGGAUAAUCUUUUUAUUUUGUUUUUAAAUUAUCUUGGUAUGUGUAUAUUUGAAUGGGAUUAGAGUUGUUCAUUUUUAGAAUUAUGUAAUAAUUUAUUUAUUUAUUUAACAUAUUUUUAUGGUUUAAUUUUAACUACUUAGAAGACUAUUUUGAUAGAUUUUAUAGUGAUAAAAUGAUAAAAUUAUUAUAAUUAAAAUUUAAAUUAUUGCGAUUAAUUAAGGUAAUAAAAAGGAACUCGGCAAUUAUUUUUUUCACCUGUUUAAUAAAAACAUGUCUUUUUGAGAAUAAUUUAAAGUCAAACCUGCCCAAUGAAUAUUUGAAUGGCCGCAGUAUUCUAACUGUGCAAAGGUAGCAUAAUCAUUAGUUUUUUAAUUGAAAGCUGGUAUGAAAGGUUUCAUGAGAAAGAAUCUGUCUCUUUAUUAUUUUAUUAAAAUUUUAUUUUUGAGUGAGAAAGCUUAGAUAAUAUAUAAGGACGAGAAGACCCUAUAGAGUUUAAUAUUUUUACAAUUAUAAUGAUUAGUUUAAUUUAUAUAUAAUGUGUAUAAUAUUUGGUUGGGGUGAUAUAAAAAUUAGAAUAACUUUUUAUUUAUUUUAACAUUGAUUUGUGAUUUUUGGAUCCUUAGUUUAAGAUUGAAAGAGAAAAUUACCUUAGGGAUAACAGCGUCAUUUUUCUUGAGAGUUCAUAUCGAAAGAAAAGAGUGCGACCUCGAUGUUGAAUUAAAAUUUAUUUUAGGUGUAGUGGCUAUAAAAUUAAGUCUGUUCGACUUUUAAAAUUUUACAUGAUUUGAGUUUAGACCGGCGUGAGCCAGGUUGGUUUCUAUCUUUUAUUAAAAUGGAUGUUUUAGUACGAAAGGACCAAACAUUUUGAAAAUUUUAUUGUUAUUUGAAUAAUUAU
This 1282-nucleotide ribosomal RNA is filed under the name Tenebrionoidea sp. 19 KM-2017. Its description in RNAcentral is "16S ribosomal RNA". The stretch from base 594 to 1282 matches the Rfam family "Archaeal large subunit ribosomal RNA", at positions 1423 to 2806 of the family's 2987-position model. Lineage: Eukaryota; Metazoa; Arthropoda; Insecta; Coleoptera. The record is from RNAcentral.